GCAUUGGUGGUUCAAUGGUAGAGUUCUUACUUCCCACGUGGGGGACUCAGAUUCGAUUCCUGGCCAAUGGA
RNAcentral lists this transfer RNA (71 nucleotides) under Loxodonta africana (African savanna elephant). It matches the Rfam family "tRNA". From Rfam's summary of the family: Transfer RNA (tRNA) molecules are approximately 80 nucleotides in length. Their secondary structure includes four short double-helical elements and three loops (D, anti-codon, and T loops). Lineage: Eukaryota; Metazoa; Chordata; Mammalia; Proboscidea; Elephantidae. The record is from Rfam by way of RNAcentral.